GAUGAAGAACGCAGCGAAAUGCGAUAAGUAAUGUGAAUUGCAGAAUUCAGUGAAUCAUCGAAUCUUUGAACGCACAUUGCGCCCGCCAGUAUUCUGGCGGGCAUGCCUGUUCGAGCGUCAUUACAACCCUCAGGCCCCCGGGCCUGGCGUUGGGGAUCGGCGGAGCCCCCCGUGGGCACACGCCGUCCCCCAAAUGCAGUGGCGGUCCCGCCGCAGCUUCCAUCGCGUAGUAGCUAACACCUCGCGACUGGAGAGCGGCGCGGCCACGCCGUAAAACACCCAACUCUUCUGAAGUUGACCUCGAAUCAGGUAGGAAUACCCACUGAACUUAAGCAUAUCAAUAAGCGGAGGA
Molecule: unclassified non-coding RNA, 352 nt
Filed under: soil metagenome
Description: partial contains 5.8S ribosomal RNA, internal transcribed spacer 2, and large subunit ribosomal RNA
Rfam family: 5.8S ribosomal RNA (bases 1-120)
Source: RNAcentral